CUUCGGGUUGUAAAGCACUUUCAGUCGUGAGGAAGGUAGUGUAGUUAAUAGCUGCAUUAUUUGACGUUAGCGACAGAAGAAGCACCGGCUAACUCCGUGCCAGCAGCCGCGGUAAUACGGAGGGUGCGAGCGUUAAUCGGAAUUACUGGGCGUAAAGCGCAUGCAGGUGGUUUGUUAAGUCAGAUGUGAAAGCCCGGGGCUCAACCUCGGAAUUGCAUUUGAAACUGGCGAGACUAGAGUACUGUAGAGGGGGGUAGAAUUUCAGGUGUAGCGGUGAAAUGCGUAGAGAUCUGAAGGAAUACCGGUGGCGAAGGCGGCCCCCUGGACAGAUACUGACACUCAGAUGCGAAAGCGUGGGGAGCAAACAGGAUUAGAUACCCUGGUAGUCCACGCCGUAAACGAUGUCUACUUGGAGGUUGUGGCCUUGAGCCGUGGCUUUCGGAGCUAACGCGUUAAGUAGACCGCCUGGGGAGUACGGUCGCAAGAUUAAA
RNAcentral lists this ribosomal RNA (491 nucleotides) under Vibrio sp. V7(2010). Its description in RNAcentral is "bacterial SSU rRNA". It matches the Rfam family "Bacterial small subunit ribosomal RNA", at positions 416 to 898 of the family's 1533-position model. Lineage: Bacteria; Pseudomonadati; Pseudomonadota; Gammaproteobacteria; Vibrionales; Vibrionaceae. The record is from RNAcentral.